RNA transcript from Carica papaya (papaya), 1387 nucleotides. It is a transcript of the gene named integral membrane family protein, with no coding region annotated. NCBI's taxonomy places the organism in Eukaryota, Viridiplantae, Streptophyta, Magnoliopsida, Brassicales, Caricaceae. The record is from RefSeq and is a predicted model, not a curated record.
CUAAUGAUAAUCGUUAUUCUGCAAAACGCAAGCCUUACAAAUAUUCAAAGGAAAAAAAAAGAACAAUAGAAACGGACGGAAGGAGAAGAAGAAACAGUUGCUGAGUUAAUAACCAUGGCAACGCGCUUGUUAGCCACAGCCUUGGGCACUCCUUCGAGCUAUAGCCCUGAUAGACGGCGAACCAGAGUGUCGACACCUUCGAACCAAUGGCUGUCGUGUUAUGACCGGAAAACAUUUAAGGAUAGGGUUAAAAAUGGAACUAUAAGGUGCGAGGUUGUGGAUGAAGGAAGCUCUACCUCUAAUGUUUCCGUCGAUCAAACCGUCUAUCAAGGAGCAUAUGGCUCCUGGACUGUUGAGGACUCGGACGUCAGAGAAGUUAUUUUAUAUAGGUCAGGGUUAGUAACUGCUGCUGUGUCGUUUGUAAUUGCUUCAUCUGCUGCUUUUUUACCUGAAACCUCUUCUUUGAGAGAAAUAAUUUUUCAAAAGCAUGAUUUGCUUUACCUGCUUGGAGCUGGGGGUCUAGGCCUGUCACUGUUUCUGAUUCACAUCUAUGUAACUGAGAUUAAGCGGACACUUCAAGCAUUAUGGGCGCUUGGUAUUCUUGGUUCUUUGACAGCAUACUCAAUCCUCGCGCAACCAGCUGGUGAGAACUUAGUACAACAUGUUGUGGACAAUCCAACAGCUGUCUGGUUUGUUGGUCCUCUCUUUGCAGCACUUACUGGACUCGUCUUCAAAGAAGGCCUGUGCUAUGGGAAACUUGAAGCUGGUCUUCUUACUUUCAUCAUACCAAUGGUUCUUCUUGGGCACCUGAUUCGAAGUCAUUGAAGUUGGUUUUACAUGGAUCUUAAUGGGCUUCACUCGAACCAUGCAGAGUGGAUUGAUGGAUGAUGGAGUAAAACUUACUUUACUUGGUUCAUGGAUGGUUCUCUUCGUGAUAUUUGCUGGAAGAAAGUUUACUCAGCCCAUAAAGGAUGACAUUGGUGACAAAUCUAUCUUCAUGUUCAAUGCUCUUCCGCAGGAUGAAAAGAAUGCCCUGAUUGAAAAACUUUCCAAACAGAAGUAGUCAGAUAAACGUUACUUUUUCAUGGUGACUCAUGAAUCAAUAAAGCGAAAAAAUGCGCAUUAAGGAAGUUUCAGUUAAUCAGCCAUUUAUGAAGUUCCUUUUUUCUUAAGAAAAAAAAGAAAAAGAAAGAUCAUGGGUAAAUUUGUGAAGUACCUGUAAUAUUAUUUUCAUUCCACUGUAAUAAAAGCACCGUAUUUAUUGGACUCUACCUUAACUGAAACAAGGGUUGAGUCAAAUUAGGAAGAACUAGGUUCAUACUGUAAGGGAUGAAACUUUUUAGAACUAAUAGUUUACUAACUCCUCCAUGGUUGGGGAAUUGCUGAA